This is a long non-coding RNA of Oncorhynchus tshawytscha (Chinook salmon), 2542 nucleotides long. The record is from Ensembl. Lineage: Eukaryota; Metazoa; Chordata; Actinopteri; Salmoniformes; Salmonidae.
AAAGGGUAACAAUCGUUUAAUAUAAACAAAACAUUUAUAUACAGCAGAUUACUGUAAUAUUUCCUCCAUUUAAGGCUAAAACCAGUAUUGACUACAGAAGCAUUCAACUGAAUUGAAAACAUUUAUUGGCCAAAUAGUUUGGCAUUUGAAGAUAAGAAAAUGAAAACUGAAUGACUACAGAUGAAUUUUAGACAAUGAAUUCAGGUUACGUUACUGUACAUCUUGUUUUUAAAACCUAAAUGCAGUGAAACCUUUGAAUGACCCUUAAAACAACACGGGACAUGGAAUGAAUAAUACAAAUGUAGAAUGAUUUCAAUUUAAAUAAUAAAGUCAUACAUUUUUGGGAGCAAAUAAACACGUGAGGACAGAGCAUAGUCUACUUUUAAGGCUGAAAGGUAAAUAUUCAAAUACACAAAGUAAUCAUUAUAUAUUUGAAAAUGCCAACAACGAACAUGAGUCUGAAUUUGUUCUACAAAAACCCUGAAUUGAGAAGACAUGGUAAAAUGUCCACUGGGAACAAUGCAGAAAUCAAAAGUAGAAUGAUUAAAUUAGAUGAUUUAAAUUGCAGAAAAGUCCUAAUUGAACUACAUGAUGAUCUUGAAAACCAAAAUGAGAAUAAUACUGGUACGGAAGUUAUGGCACUUCUGUUUCCUCAGUAUCACAUGAAGUUAAUUCAUAUCAUUACAGGUCUAAUACCACCAGGUCCCUGUCCUAGUACUGAUGAUUAAAAACCCGAACUUCAGUUAAAACAUUUUUUUUUUAGGUUGUCAUAGCAUCACUAAAACCUGACAAAACAAAUUUACUCCAUAUUGUUCAAUGCCAUAUCCACAUGUCAAUUUCACAAACUUGAACCUCAAUGCCAAUACAAGAAUUAUAACAUCUAAAUAAUGAUUGUCAAACCUUUCAUACCAUUAGCAGAGAAAUGGUUAUGAAGGUUGGUAAAAUAAUAACAUAAAUAUUCACAUUCCAUUGUUUAAAUGUAAUUACUAUUCCUGCUUUACGUCCCCUAAGUGAGGUCACAGCAGGUAAGCUACUACAUAACCCCAAUAUUUAAAUUGAAACACAAAUGCUGUACAAACAAAACAGGGCAAAUGAUAACAUUUCAGUUUUCUAUGCUAGUCAAAGUGCAUUACAAAUGCUUAUAACAAAGGCAUCAUUACAGACUUGAAGUACAGCUGUGUUGAUAUCACAGUUUCCAACAGAUCAAGUAACUGUGUAGGGACUCGGGAGGGCUACUAAAAGUUGCCUUUGAAUAUCAACAUCAGCAUUAUCAGACAACCCUCAGAGGCAAGUCAAAACACAUUCAUUUACUGAAAAACAAAUCUUAACAUUUGAAUUCUUAAUAUACACAAUUUUCACUUCUAUAUUAAUAAAGUUUACAGACAAGUGUUUAAGUUAAACAUACUAAAUAAGAGUAGAUGCUGUUGCAAACAACAGACAGGGAAGUACAACAGUCAUUUUUCUCCUUUCUGAAGAGCUUCCUGGAUGGUCAUUACAUCGUGUUGCAGAUUGUUGAUUUAGAUUGCACUGGUUGCUUUGUAUAUAUAUAUUCAGAAAGAGGAAAUAAACAAUGCAAAAUCUUCAGCGCAUGUUAUGGACACCGCAAACAUACAAAAUAUACAUUUGGUAAAGUGUCAGAUACUCUUAAAUGUACAUUACUUGAAGGUCUCAUCAGUUUCAAAUGACAACUUCAUUUUGAAACAAUUUAGUAACUUUCAUAUGUGCCACAGUUUCAAAUAAUCUAAAAAGAAAGUGUGACUAAUCUGAAUGUGAAAAAUUAAGCCUGAGAAUUACAAAGCAAAAUAGCUAGUAAUCAGUUGAGAUAAACAUAACCUAAGAUACAGAUGAACUGAAAAUGUAGCUCAAAGUGUUAAAAAUAAUACACCAUCUAAAAACACACGGCCCCCAUUCUCACCCUAUUCACAUUGAGGCCUUGUGAUUCAAUAUGGCACCACUAUAGAUAAGCCCUGAAAUAAAGUACCUUUUUCUGGUCUACAGAGUGGCUAUUAGUAACAGCUGUGACACCUCCUGUAUCACGUUGUACUACACUGGACAAUUUGUUCAGUAGAUAUUCAGACUGGCCUUUUACUGGACUCAAUAUAGCCAUGAAGGGAACAAGUGGGGACAAAGUGGUCAAAUAUGCGGACUAGCUUCUACCACAAAACUCUGUUAAGAUAAAAAUCGAAAUAACUCAAAAUAUAUUCUCUGAAACUUGAACGAUGAUCACUUAAACAUUCAUCAUCUAUUCAGAGUUCUUUCAAGUACAUGUUAAAACCUCUGAGACGACCCAUACUGAUUAAUGCCAGUAUGAAUUUGAAUUUAAAAGACCAUAAACCGAUGGUCAAGUAUUUAUCCCCUCUGGAUUAAAAUAUCAUUCAUUUAUGCAGUAUAGGAAAGAGCUGCAAUACCAGAACAGCAUAGAGCUCCAAUACCAGAACAGCAUAGAGCUCUAAUACCAGAACAGUAUAGACUUCAAAACCAGAACAGUAUAGAAUUCAAUACCAGAACAGCAUAGAGCUCCAAUACCAGAACAGCAUAGAGC